This is a microRNA precursor of Eutrema salsugineum, 85 nucleotides long. The record is from Rfam. Lineage: Eukaryota; Viridiplantae; Streptophyta; Magnoliopsida; Brassicales; Brassicaceae.
GAUUUUCUCUGAUAUUGGCCUGGUUCACUCAGAUCCUCUUUACUAAAUCAUCUGAUUGAGCCGUGCCAAUAUCUCAGUCCUCUCU